AGGGUAUAACAGUAAUUAUAUAUUAAAAUUACUAUUUCCAUUAAAAGUAACUGUUUUCAUUAAUGAAUGAGGAUGUAAAUGUCUUUUUUGAAACGUUAGGGGGGUUCUUGUCCCUUUGUCUAAAUGUUGGGGGUGUGCUUGUCUUUUUCCCUAUAAAUAAAAGAUUAUUCACAACUAUUAAUGAAUGGGCAUUUCAUUAUAUAAGGCUGAAACUAUUCUACUUCUAUUGUGAGUUAUUUUAUCUUGAUUACUGAAGUUGAGAUUUCAAGUAGAAUUAACAUAUGUAUAUGUGAUAUGCAUAUUAAACUAGACUAUAGUGAAUUACUGAAUUAUUAUCUAGUUUAACAAAUUUCAUUGAUCAUAAUUUACAUAAGCUUUAAUAAGCUUAAUCAACCUUAGUCCUGAAUGGAUAAUGAACUUGCAUUCAUAUAUUAUAUCUUUUGAGUUAUCCCGGAGUGAGAUACACAUAAAUGGUCGAAAACCUUGAUAGCUUAGAAAUGUAAUUUCAUUGAUCAUGGGAACAUAUACUUACAAGAUAGAAUCUAUACUAAUGAUGCUUAUUUAAAUUUCUUGUGGUAACUUGAUCAUUUAAAUAUGUGGCCACAAUUUAUUUCGUAAAUUAUUUAUUGAAUAAUAAUAUUUAUUUGUAAAUUUAUUUACAAAUAUAAAUAUAUUGAAAGUGAUCAUUUGAAUAAAUAGUAAAUCAAGGGUAAAUAUGUGAUUUACAAAGGCACAACAUUCAUCAUGAGCCUAUCUUUAAUUAUGAGCAUUAGAUAGAGGGUUUAUUAAGUGGUUAUUAUUAGUCAAAGACGAAGGCUAAAAUUAAUUAAAAGGAGUUUUACUUAAUUGAGCUUUUAUUUAAUUACAUGGGUUACUAAAGUACAAUUUGGGUUUUAGUGAAAUAGCCUGGAGUUAACUUGGUAAUUUUGACAUGUGAUGAGAUGUUUAGGCUUUUAAUAUUAAGUUGGAUGUAGAAAGCCCAUGAGUCUGUAGUCCCAAUGUUAACUCAAUUCAUGGUCAAACUUGACUCUAGUAAGUGCUUAUAUAAUAGAGAGGAAAGUAGAAGAGAGAAAAUAUUUUUCUUAUAAGUUUUUCUUGAAAAAGAAAAAAGACACAAUUCUAAGGUUUUCAUCUCCAGCACAAAAGUAACAUUCUUUACACGCCUACUCAUGUGAGGGAGACUAUUGAGGAUAACAGAAGAGAUUGUAAGCUUCUUCGACAGUUCUUCACUACGAAAUUAACGUACUUCUCCAGUCCUAUACAUGUAUAAAUAAUAAAGAAAAAGUUCUUGGCUUUCGCUGAUUUUAUUAAAUAGAAAAUUUAUUUUUCUAAGAUAUGAUUUACCAACACUCUCUUGCGACCACCAUAGAAGCAAUAUCACCAUCAAACAUAUGUGUUUCGUUACCCUUUAAUUAACUUUCGUUUAUUUCUAAAAAUUCCAUGCGCAAAUCAAUAGUUUCAUGUAUAUGGGCUAUGGGUGUUUUUUAUUGUUAGUUUUAGGCCAUCUAUUAAUACUUUUCAAUAAUAUUAUUGAAUAUUGUAUGUCACUUUUUUACCAUGUAUUAUGUCUGCCUUUCAUUUUCCUUUUUGUUCGUCAUAAUUUUUAAAGUAAUGUUUGUGUUGAAAUAUACUUACAAUAAUGUAGAUGGGCAAAAAUAAGAAAAUUAUCAAUCAAACUUAAACUAGAGAUGACCAACGGGUUAGGCGGCAUGUGGCACAGCACGGGCACAACACAUGUCCGUAGAGCACAGCAUGACACGAGCACAUUUUGGUGGGACACAUGGCACGACACAACAUACACAUAGACUAGGCUGAGAUUAGAAUUUUAGGCAUGCAAUCUUUAAAAGCAUAGCAUAAUUAGAGAUUGGCUAAAGCAUGGCACGUGAAAGGCUCGCAAUAAGCAUGACUCACUUUUUAAUGAAAAUGAAUUUAAAAUUUUAUGAUUUUACAAAUAACUUGAAAUUGAAUAUUUUUAAUUUAUGUUUUUAAUUCGCACAAGUUUUUUAAACUCAUUUAAUUCUUAAUUUCCCAAAAAAACUCUAAUUGAUUUAUAUUUAUAAUUUAUUAAAUGAAUAAUUGAUAUUAUGAUUUUAAUAAAUAAAUUAUAAAUAUCAUGGUUUUAUAAAUAUGUAUUAGUGUUAUUAUGGACAUAAUAUAUGACUCUAUGUAAGUUUAAGUUAACAAUUAAAUUAAUCCUUAAGAAAAAUUCAUUAUUAUUGUUGUUGUUAUUGUUGUUGUUGUUAAGUAUUAAAAAGGAAUUCUAAUACAAUAGGGUCCAGUUUAGUAAUUAAUAUUCUCUUACUAUUAUUAGUUGAUUAUUAUUGAAUAUGGACUUAAGUUUUGAAUUUUUGAUUCUAUUGAAUUUGACUAAAGGAAUAUAGACCUACUAAGUUUGAAAAAAGUAUGGUAUGUCCUCUUAAAAAAAUUAAACAAAAAAAAAAGUUUUUGUACUUUUGUCUUAGGCAUGACAUGGCCCACGAUAUGGCACGAAGCACAUGGUGGGCCCGGCAUGGCACGGGCACGAAUAAGAGCACGCAUGAGCCUUCCUAUUUGCCAGCCCGACUCGUUGGCCAUCUCUAACUGAAAUUGAAACUAAUAAUGUAUCACUAGGUAAAACUAUUUAGGACAAUGAAACUACUUUUGUAAAACUUGUGCAUCGUAGAGGUAAAGGAAGUACAUCGCCCUUGGACUCAUUUCACUAAAUUAGGAUGGAAAAAUUCAGUCAAAAAUAAAUUUUACACCAAUGAAGAGAUAGGAAAGAUAUCAAUGAACUAGAAAGUCAAGAAGAAAACAUAUUAACAAAUGAAGCAAAAGAAUGAGAAAUGGAUUUUAAGAAAUAAUAUUGUUAAAACUACAAUGACAAAGUGGUAUUACAUGACAAUUUAUUAUUUGUUUUCUUUUUGAGAUUUUUUAGCUUAUUACAUUUUUUUAUAUUUUUUGUGGAGGAAUACCUUGUUAUACUUUCACUAUACAAUAACAAUUUUAUUUGAUGAAAAUUAUAGUUGAUUUUUUAAUUAUCAAUUAUUUUACGAUAACAAAAUAAAAUAACUAAAAUCAAUAGAGUAUAUUUUUUAUUUUUUAGUUAAAAUUAUUAUAAAUACACAAUAAAAAAUAUUGUGUGUACAUAUUUUUAUAUUUAUAAGUAAAUUUAAUUCUACAUUAUAUCUAAUUUAGUUAUUUAUUUUCUUAUAAAAGUUUAAUCAAACACAUAUACUUGUUUUCAAAACUCAUAACUUUUGGAUCAGGCACUCACCAUAUGUUUUCAUUGUUUAACUCUUUUAUUACAUGAGAAACCCAUUGUUCAAUUCUUUGACAACAAAAAAAAAAUAUCAAAAGCUCUGCCCAUCCUCUUUAUGUAUACGAGGAUCGGUAGGGCAGACCUCCGAUCGAGCUAGGAGCAUGAAUUGUUAGGCGGCUGGGGGGAUGGGCUGGCUUGGCUGUCUUUUCCAUAAAUCUUUGUCCACUUAAUGUCGCUAUUAGUGCGAGUUGUAAGAAGUCUUGGUCUCCAGUUGAGCUAGGGCGUUAUUUCUUGCAUCUCUCAAGCCCUGGUUGGCUAUUGACUUCUUUCACUCAACAAUCGUUGAAUCCGAAUAUGAAAGUGACUGAACUCCCUUUUGAGCUAACUAAAUUAGUUAUGUCGACAACAAAUAUUCUCUUCCUUAAAAAAUAAAAAUUUACUAAACACUAAACUAAUUCUCUUUAUCGCUCAUUGUUUCUAUAGCAUAACUAACAAUAAUUAUUUUAAAAGCUUACAAUAUUAUCAAACUAGCCCCAGCAUUGUCAAACUAGCCUUAAAUUGCUUAGAAAUUUAGUAAGUAAACCACGUAAUACCCUCUUAUACCCGAUUCUCCAUUAUUCAGUGGGCACACUCUAUUUCCACACAAUUAGCUUCACAAGAUGCCAUCCAAAGUCGCAACACAAGGGUGAUCAGGCCCAACAAACACUUGAGGAAGCCCGUGAGUGUAGACCUCUUUGAACUUGGCACUUUAUGGAUCCUUAGCAAAAUGGUUUACAAGAACAAGACCGUCUCUCCUAAGGUUACUGUUCAUUUAUUUAUUAGAUAAUGAAUUUUAUAAUUAAUAAAAUUAAUAUUUUAUCAUCCAAAUCUCAUGUUAGUUGAAAAUCAAAAUUAUUGAGGUCCAUAAUAUUACUUGUCUCUUAAUUAGCAUGAGACAUGUGAAAUGAUUGAUCGAAGAGAGGCCGUGAUAUAAGUUUUUGCCAUAAUUCGGGACUUUCCAACUAAAACCCAUCGAAAAUUGUAUACCAUCCUAAUAUGCCCCAAACAUGCAGGUAAACCAAACAGAUAAUAAAAAUGUAAUAUCUAAUCUCAUUUUUUCUACUAAGUUCUAUUUGAUAUAAUUUUUCAAA
Molecule: long non-coding RNA, 4368 nt
Filed under: Citrus x clementina
Lineage: Eukaryota; Viridiplantae; Streptophyta; Magnoliopsida; Sapindales; Rutaceae
Description: Citrus clementina (C. clementina) long non-coding RNA (CCLE_LNC002544)
Source: RNAcentral